Molecule: ribosomal RNA, 253 nt
Filed under: uncultured bacterium
Lineage: Bacteria
Description: partial 16S ribosomal RNA
Rfam family: Bacterial small subunit ribosomal RNA
Source: RNAcentral
GACGAAGGGGGCAAGGCUUGUCCGGAAUUACUGGGCGUAAAGCGCAUGUAGGCGGAUAUUUAAGUCAGGGGUGAAAUCCCAGAGCUCAAAUCUGGAACUGCCUUUGAUACUGGGUAUCUUGAGUAUGGAAGAGGUAAGUGGAAGUCCGAGUGUAGAGGUGAAAUUCGUAGAUAUUCGGAGGAACACCAGUGGCGAAGGCGGCUUACUGGUCCAUUACUGACGCUGAGGUGCGAAAGCGUGGGGAGCAAACAGG